AAUGGGCGCAAGCCUGAUGGAGCAACACCGCGUGAGUGAAGAAGGGUUUCGGCUCGUAAAGCUCUGUUGUUGGAGAAGAACGUGCGUGAGAGUAACUGUUCACGCAGUGACGGUAUCCAACCAGAAAGUCACGGCUAACUACGUGCCAGCAGCCGCGGUAAUACGUAGGUGGCAAGCGUUAUUCGGAUUUAUUGGGCGUAAAGCGAGCGCAGGCGGUUGCUUAGGUCUGAUGUGAAAGCCUUCGGCUUAACCGAAGAAGGGCAUCGGAAACCGGGCGACUUGAGUGCAGAAGAGGACAGUGGAACUCCAUGUGUAGCGGUGGAAUGCGUAGAUAUAUGGAAGAACACCGGUGGCGAAGGCGGCUGUCUGGUCUGCAACUGACGCUGAGGCUCGAAAGCAUGGGUAGCGAACAGGAUUAGAUACCCUGGUAGUCCAUGCCGUAAACGAUGUGUGCUAGGUGUUGGAGGGUUUCCGCCCUUCAGUGCCGGAGCUAACGCAUUAAGCACUCCGCCUGGGGAGUACGACCGCAAGGUUGAAACUCAAAGGAAUUGACGGGGGCCCGCACAAGCGGUGGAGCAUGUGGUUUAAUUCGAAGCUACGCGAAGAACCUUACCAGGUCUUGACAUCUUGCGCUAACCUAAGAGAUUAGGCGUUCCCUUCGGGGACGC
RNAcentral lists this ribosomal RNA (668 nucleotides) under Limosilactobacillus vaginalis. RNAcentral describes it as "bacterial SSU rRNA". It matches the Rfam family "Bacterial small subunit ribosomal RNA", at positions 370 to 1029 of the family's 1533-position model. Lineage: Bacteria; Bacillati; Bacillota; Bacilli; Lactobacillales; Lactobacillaceae. The record is from RNAcentral.